This 851-nucleotide ribosomal RNA is filed under the name Escherichia coli. Its description in RNAcentral is "partial 23S ribosomal RNA". It matches the Rfam family "Bacterial large subunit ribosomal RNA", at positions 418 to 1269 of the family's 2925-position model. Lineage: Bacteria; Pseudomonadati; Pseudomonadota; Gammaproteobacteria; Enterobacterales; Enterobacteriaceae. The record is from RNAcentral.
CGGGACACGUGGUAUCCUGUCUGAAUAUGGGGGGACCAUCCUCCAAGGCUAAAUACUCCUGACUGACCGAUAGUGAACCAGUACCGUGAGGGAAAGGCGAAAAGAACCCCGGCGAGGGGAGUGAAAAAGAACCUGAAACCGUGUACGUACAAGCAGUGGGAGCACGCUUCGGCGUGUGACUGCGUACCUUUUGUAUAAUGGGUCAGCGACUUAUAUUCUGUAGCAAGGUUAACCGAAUAGGGGAGCCGAAGGGAAACCGAGUCUUAACUGGGCGUUAAGUUGCAGGGUAUAGACCCGAAACCCGGUGAUCUAGCCAUGGGCAGGUUGAAGGUUGGGUAACACUAACUGGAGGACCGAACCGACUAAUGUUGAAAAAUUAGCGGAUGACUUGUGGCUGGGGGUGAAAGGCCAAUCAAACCGGGAGAUAGCUGGUUCUCCCCGAAAGCUAUUUAGGUAGCGCCUCGUGAAUUCAUCUCCGGGGGUAGAGCACUGUUUCGGCAAGGGGGUCAUCCCGACUUACCAACCCGAUGCAAACUGCGAAUACCGGAGAAUGUUAUCACGGGAGACACACGGCGGGUGCUAACGUCCGUCGUGAAGAGGGAAACAACCCAGACCGCCAGCUAAGGUCCCAAAGUCAUGGUUAAGUGGGAAACGAUGUGGGAAGGCCCAGACAGCCAGGAUGUUGGCUUAGAAGCAGCCAUCAUUUAAAGAAAGCGUAAUAGCUCACUGGUCGAGUCGGCCUGCGCGGAAGAUGUAACGGGGCUAAACCAUGCACCGAAGCUGCGGCAGCGACACUAUGUGUUGUUGGGUAGGGGAGCGUUCUGUAAGCCUGCGAAGGUGUACUGUGAGGU